GUCCCAUCAAUGUCCCCACAGGUGUCCCAAAGCCACCCCAGGGUGUCCCCUCCUGGUUGACCCCAAGCCACUCCUGGGUGUCCCAAGGAUGUCCCAGGAUGUCCCAAAGCCACCCCAGGGUGUCCCAGGAGCUCUCAGGGUGUCCCAUGGGUGCCCCAGACCCACCCGAGGUUGUCACUUCAAGGUGUCCCAUGGAUGUCCCAAAGCCACCCCAGGGUGUCCCAUGGGUGUCCCACAGAUGUCCCAGAGCCACCUCAGGUUAUCCCCUCCAGGGUGUCCCAUGGAUGUCCCAAGGCCACCCCAAGGUGUCCCAAAGCCACCAAUGGGUGUCCCAUGGGUGUCCCCUCCAGGGUGUCCCAGGGUGUCCCAGAGCCACCCCUGGGUGUCCCAAAGCCACCCCUGGAUGUCCCAUGGAUGUCCCAAAGCCACCUCAGGACUCUUCAGAGCCACCCCUGGGUGUCCCAGGAGCUCUCAGGGUGUCCCAUGGGUGUCCCAAAGCCACAAAGCCCCCCCAAGGUGUCCCAGAGCCACCACAGAUUGUCCCCUCCAGGGUGUCCCAAGGCCACCUGAGAUCUCCCAGGAUCCUUUAGGAUGUCCCAGAGCCACCCCAGGGUGUCACUUCAAGGUGUCCCAAGGAUGUCCCAGGACCCUCCAGGCCACCCCAGGACUCUUCAGGAUGUCCCAAAGCCACCCAUGGGUGUCCCACCAAUGUCCCAAAGCCACCUCAGGACUCUUCAGAGCCACCCAUGGGUGUCCCAGGAUGUCCCACAG
Molecule: long non-coding RNA, 771 nt
Filed under: Zonotrichia albicollis (white-throated sparrow)
Lineage: Eukaryota; Metazoa; Chordata; Aves; Passeriformes; Passerellidae
Description: lncRNA (ENSZALG00000001930.1)
Source: RNAcentral